Long non-coding RNA from Gasterosteus aculeatus aculeatus (three-spined stickleback), 779 nucleotides. NCBI's taxonomy places the organism in Eukaryota, Metazoa, Chordata, Actinopteri, Perciformes, Gasterosteidae. The record is from Ensembl.
GGCCUUUCAGAUGGAGGUUGGAGUGCAGGCCGACAGCACAACACAAGCUCGCACAGCCUGAAUUGGCCAAAGAAGAACCGCCUCCCUACGGUCACAAGAAUGCCUGAAAGCUCCCAUCAAAGAGGCUCUGGGAAAAAAAGAGACAACGAAGGAGCCGCUGAGGCGACGGCCCCCAGCUGGCAGCUGGUACCAUUUGGCCGUGUUGGAUCCAGAAGCAGCAGAGACCGUUGAAAGAGUGGAAAUGAAAAAAAUCAAUGAGUCACAUUAUGCAUUGUUCCAAUCCCGCAUUCAAAGUGUGCUUGUACAAUUUCUGUACAACAUCCUCCCGGUACGAGCUUCCAGAGUUCAAAUCCUGCCCGAAAAGGCCUCCCUGGCGGGACGUCACGCCUACUCGACAUAUCGCGAGCGAUGUUUUCUUGGCCAUCUCUGGAACAGUGUGACAUGGGAUGAGCGGAGAACACUGUUGGAACACAGCGUGCAGAAGCCUCCAGUGACAAAGAUGAGUCUUGAGAUUUGGGAGUAAGUGCCGUGAGAUGUGACGUGACCAGAGGCCUGACUUUACCCUGCUGUGACCUACGCGUCGCUCCUAUCCAACAACUCUGACGGCAUCCACGAACAGAAAGACGGACGUCCGGGACAAUAACAUGACGGCAUGGUGGUGUGGACAGCAUGUGGUCUGAUAAGCCAUUGUACACGCAGUAAGAGACGUUUAUAACACAUGAGGGCUCACAUCAUCCUGCACACGAGUAAAGGGGGAAGUAUAAUAUCAUGAUUACCAG